This is an RNA transcript of Poecile atricapillus (Black-capped chickadee), 3365 nucleotides long. It is a transcript of the gene named YdjC chitooligosaccharide deacetylase homolog, with no coding region annotated. The transcript is spliced from 2 exons. NCBI's taxonomy places the organism in Eukaryota, Metazoa, Chordata, Aves, Passeriformes, Paridae. The record is from RefSeq and is a predicted model, not a curated record.
GAUAAUAACUGGAGAUGACUUCGGCUAUUGUCCUCGGAGAAACCAAGGCAUUGUGGACUGUUUCCUGGCUGGUGCGAUAUCUAACGUGUCCCUUCUAGUCAACGGAAGUGCUGCAGCAGAUGCAGCCAAGCUGGCAAGGAGCCUUGACCAGUGGUGUAAGCAGGAAGAGUGGAUCUAUCCCCAGCUGAGAGAAGAAGCUUGAAGCAAAUAGCUUGUCCUUUCCCGGGGCACAUUCCAGUGCGGUGGAAUUUGGUCUUUCACACACAUGGUGCCAGGAUUGUCAGAGUGAUGGACUGCUUUUGUGGCUUCUUGAUAAACUGUCUAUGACAUGAUUGCUUGUCACUGCAAGUCUUAAGCUGUCACUCCUCAUCUGGUAUUCAGAUAAUUGGACACAGGAAGAGCUAAUUAAUAAGUAGGCAACUUUUCCUUCCUAAGCACCUCAUGCUGCUCUACAAUGUUAGGACCCAGCAUCUUUCAGAAAGGAACACAGGUCUUCUGAAAUUUCUUUAUUCCUUUCAUUUUCACAAUAAUUCUGUAGUUUCUGGGUAUACCAUCUGUUGCCCUGAGUCUUGAUUAAAAGCCUUGGCAGACAUGUGAUAGUCAGCAGAUCUUUGUAUCAGCUCUAACACAAGCCAACUGCAGAACAGCAGAACCAAGCAGUAAAAAAUGUACCUUCCUUAACAUUCAGGCUCAGCACCUUGCGCUUUCCUCAUCUGCUGUCACAACUGGGCUGAAAGAAGGGGCACACUCAUUCCUGGCAGUAGAGAAGUUUCAGCAGAGGCCUGAUCCAUCACCAAAUGACAAACCUAUUGAUAGCAUCUGCCAGAGCAGAACAUAACCAGAACAGCAGGUGGGAGAACAGACUGCCAUUGUAGGUUGAAGAUUUUUUUCAGUAACUCAAAGCUUUUCUCUUUAUGGGGCCUUGACUGACUGUGAUUUCCUGCUUAUUCAUAUAAUAUAAUCACAAUUUUCUACUUAAGAGGCCCUGCCUUGAAGUCAGGCUCUAGAAUAAUCACCAGGAAGUCUGUCUUUCUCAGAAACUGGAAGGGUUAUUUUGUAACUUGAAGAGAUGCCUUAAUUUUUCCUUAGAAAAGUUGAGAUAGAAAUAGGGACACCUAAGACAGUUUACUGCCAUAUCCCCCCCCCCCUUUACAUCAAACAGCUCAGGUGUCACUGAGCCUUAGAACCCUUUUCCAUUUGAUUGUGUCCAAAUAGCUUAUGAAGAGUGACAUAUUUUAGAACACAACCUCAGUCUUCCUGGGUAUUUUUUUGUGGUUUAAAUACUGAACAUCAGCCGAAGCCCCCACAACAUCUGGGUACGUUUAACAGAAGAAUGUAACAAAGCCACAUUUAAUUGCUCCAUGUUUUCACUUCCUUUCCCAUCAACACUAAUUGCAAAAUAUGUGUGUAAAUUGUGACUUAAUUCUGACCCUCACAGUCAACAUCUGACUAAUUUAGAAUUCUGCUUUCUCGUCACCCUUUUAUGUGACUGUUAAUCACACAGCAGACAGUUCCUCUGCUGCACUGUUUGGAUAGGGGUGGGACCCAAUCUGAAGCUUUACACUAGAAUCUCAGAUCAUAUUGACUUUACUGGCAACAGCCCAUUUUACUGACAUAAGGCUACAGACACAGGAUCUGCACUUGAUACAAAGAUGUAAUUACAGCAGAAACCUGGGUCCCUAAGCUAAGUUACAGCAACCAGCUCUUAACAGUGCAGAGGGUUUAGAGCAUUUCUGGCAGAAGAAAUAGGUUUUUAGCAGUAAUAGAGCAAGAAAGUAUGCUAUUUGAAGAAAGACAGAUAUUCCUGAAUGGUGAAAGUGUGUGUGAGGAGGUAUGCAAAUGCCAACAUGAGGAAACUAAGAAAUGCACGCUUUUGCUCAAAUCCUUGCUUUGUUUGGCUUCAGACACAUGGGUGUCCACUGAAGCAAGAUGUUUAGAUACAGAUAUGUAUGUGAGGCUCUGACUUGGGUCACACUUGGGCUGAAACAUGAUGAUCAGCAAUUUCCUGGAUGAUACAAAUAGGAUGUUGAAGGUGGAAUUUGUUUACCCAUCAAGGGAAAGGGAAAAGUGCUAUGCUUAAGCCAGAGCAUGCAGCCUUCAGCAAGGCAAUUGGAACAGUGCUUGGCAAAUCUCAUAAUUCCCACAGCCAUUGCAAGUGCUCUCAGGAGUACACAGAGUCCCAUGGCAUGGGCAGGCAGGACCCAGGACACUGUUACUCAUCCAGCCUCAGAGUGACUCACUGCAGUUACCCAUCUCCAGGGUCCCUUUGCUGCCAAGGAAGUCAGUGAACAGGGACUGCAGCUGCACAUUGCCUCCGCAGAGACAUUUGUUCAGAGCACUCAUCUGGCAAAACAAGCAACUACUUGAAAAGGAAGCAGUUUAAGCAGUUUACCUGAUUGUAUUUCCUCUCUCUUUGAUAACUGAACUGGGCCUGCUGACUCAGAAAUCUUUCCAGGGCGAAUUCCUUCUUGCUCCUCCUAGCACUUGCUCUAAGGAUAUUUCCUCCUGCACAAGCUUCUCCUUUUCUGCCCCCACCUCUACCAGAAUGCUGAGAAGAGAACCGUAGAUGUAACAGCCAACUUUCAGUGCAAAAAGCUCACUAAUGCAUUAACAUGAGUGGCCUGAACCUCUUCACCACAAGUGCUCAGGCAGCUCAGUCUAAUGCUGAUCCUGCUGCAGGAGCACACACCUGACUGAAAGGGUCAUUAUAGCUUAAAAGAGUCAUCAAAAAGGAUUUAGAGACACCAAGUAGAUUCUUCACAUCAUUUUGUUUUGGCAAUGGUGGCUGUAUGCAGAAACUAAACUGUUGCCUGAAGCCAAAUGCCAGUCCUUUUAUUUUGCAUCUCGUGUGGGCAAUUAGCAGUUCAUGACCAGCAAUGACCAGCAGAGCUCACCCUGUCCCAUCUGGAAAGGGCUUGGGCAGAGGAGUGGGUAUGAGGCCAAACCCACAACAGCUGAGCUCUGGUCCCAGGGCAGCGUCACAUGCUGUGUAAGCUGCUUGAGCUGCUGGUCUCUGCUUCAGUAUUUCAGCCAACAAGUUAGCAGAUAGUUUACAGUCUUUUGAAAGAUGUGGGCAACUACAAAGUAUAUUUCUGUAGCAGAAAUAAUCAUAUGUGCUCUGAAAAGUGGGCCCUUUCAGGAUAUUCCUGCACCUUUACUUUUCUCCCUCUGAGGUUGCAGUAGAACUCUGCUGUACCCACUGAACUGUCCUCCUCCCCCUACCCUUACAACUUCUCAGGAUGCCUUCUUCUGUGCACCUCCCACAGAUGAAUAUUUCUGAACAAGUUUCUCAUGUAUGGCAUUUUGAGUUUUGCUUUCAGUGCCUGUAUCCCAGAGCCAUUAAACAUGAGCAAUUCCUCUCCAGA